GUGGGUAACCUACCCUGUACACACGGAUAACAUACCGAAAGGUAUGCUAAUACGGGAUAAUAUAUUUGAGAGGCAUCUCUUAAAUAUCAAAGGUGAGCUAGUACAGGAUGGACCCGCGUCUGAUUAGCUAGUUGGUAAGGUAACGGCUUACCAAGGCGACGAUCAGUAGCCGACCUGAGAGGGUGAUCGGCCACAUUGGAACUGAGACACGGUCCAAACUCCUACG
RNAcentral lists this ribosomal RNA (226 nucleotides) under Clostridioides difficile. RNAcentral's name for it is "partial 16S ribosomal RNA". It matches the Rfam family "Bacterial small subunit ribosomal RNA", at positions 117 to 343 of the family's 1533-position model. The record is from RNAcentral. Lineage: Bacteria; Bacillati; Bacillota; Clostridia; Peptostreptococcales; Peptostreptococcaceae.